GCUCAGGAUGAACGCUGGCGGCGUGCCUAAUACAUGCAAGUCGAGCGAACGGACGAGAAGCUUGCUUCUCUGAUGUUAGCGGCGGACGGGUGAGUAACACGUGGAUAACCUACCUAUAAGACUGGGAUAACUUCGGGAAACCGGAGCUAAUACCGGAUAAUAUUUUGAACCGCAUGGUUCAAAAGUGAAAGACGGUCUUGCUGUCACUUAUAGAUGGAUCCGCGCUGCAUUAGCUAGUUGGUAAGGUAACGGCUUACCAAGGCAACGAUGCAUAGCCGACCUGAGAGGGUGAUCGGCCACACUGGAACUGAGACACGGUCCAGACUCCUACGGGAGGCAGCAGUAGGGAAUCUUCCGCAAUGGGCGAAAGCCUGACGGAGCAACGCCGCGUGAGUGAUGAAGGUCUUCGGAUCGUAAAACUCUGUUAUUAGGGAAGAACAUAUGUGUAAGUAACUGUGCACAUCUUGACGGUACCUAAUCAGAAAGCCACGGCUAACUACGUGCCAGCAGCCGCGGUAAUACGUAGGUGGCAAGCGUUAUCCGGAAUUAUUGGGCGUAAAGCGCGCGUAGGCGGUUUUUUAAGUCUGAUGUGAAAGCCCACGGCUCAACCGUGGAGGGUCAUUGGAAACUGGAAAACUUGAGUGCAGAAGAGGAAAGUGGAAUUCCAUGUGUAGCGGUGAAAUGCGCAGAGAUAUGGAGGAACACCAGUGGCGAAGGCGACUUUCUGGUCUGUAACUGACGCUGAUGUGCGAAAGCGUGGGGAUCAAACAGGAUUAGAUACCCUGGUAGUCCACGCCGUAAACGAUGAGUGCUAAGUGUUAGGGGGUUUCCGCCCCUUAGUGCUGCAGCUAACGCAUUAAGCACUCCGCCUGGGGAGUACGACCGCAAGGUUGAAACUCAAAGGAAUUGACGGGGACCCGCACAAGCGGUGGAGCAUGUGGUUUAAUUCGAAGCAACGCGAAGAACCUUACCAAAUCUUGACAUCCUUUGACAACUCUAGAGAUAGAGCCUUCCCCUUCGGGGGACAAAGUGACAGGUGGUGCAUGGUUGUCGUCAGCUCGUGUCGUGAGAUGUUGGGUUAAGUCCCGCAACGAGCGCAACCCUUAAGCUUAGUUGCCAUCAUUAAGUUGGGCACUCUAAGUUGACUGCCGGUGACAAACCGGAGGAAGGUGGGGAUGACGUCAAAUCAUCAUGCCCCUUAUGAUUUGGGCUACACACGUGCUACAAUGGACAAUACAAAGGGCAGCGAAACCGCGAGGUCAAGCAAAUCCCAUAAAGUUGUUCUCAGUUCGGAUUGUAGUCUGCAACUCGACUACAUGAAGCUGGAAUCGCUAGUAAUCGUAGAUCAGCAUGCUACGGUGAAUACGUUCCCGGGUCUUGUACACACCGCCCGUCACACCACGAGAGUUUGUAACACCCGAAGCCGGUGGAGUAACCUUUUAGGAGCUAGCCGUCGAAGGUGGGACAAAUGAUUGGGGUGAAGUCGUAACNNNNNGUAGCCGUAGCC
Molecule: ribosomal RNA, 1507 nt
Filed under: Staphylococcus aureus
Lineage: Bacteria; Bacillati; Bacillota; Bacilli; Caryophanales; Staphylococcaceae
Description: partial 16S ribosomal RNA
Rfam family: Bacterial small subunit ribosomal RNA
Source: RNAcentral